UAGUAUAGCAUCUAUACGGUGAAACUGCGAAUGGCUCAUUGAUGGGCCGUUCGUCUUACAGCGAGCCUCCGGGGGCUUGCGACGCUACUAAAAUGUGGAAAUUGCUUGGCCGUCUGCGCCUGGUGAAUCCGCAGCCAGCUGUUUCGCUGGUUCAACGACUAAAUAGUACAGGCUGACUUUCUUAGCAGCCGAGAUAUAGUCUAACCCCCCGAARAGAUUCGGGCGGUACAGUGCAUUAAAUCAGUUAUCGUUUAUUUGAUAGUACCUCACUACUUGGAUAACCGUGGUAAUUCUAGAGCUAAUACAUGCUAAAAACCUCGACUUUGGAAGGGGUGUAUUUAUUAGAUAAAAAACCAAUGCCCUUCGGGGCUCCUUGGUGAUUCAUAAUAACUUAACGAAUCGCAUGGCCUUGCGCCGGCGAUGGUUCAUUCAAAUUUCUGCCCUAUCAACUUUCGAUGGUAGGAUAGUGGCCUACCAUGGUGGCAACGGGUAACGGGGAAUUAGGGUUCUAUUCCGGAGAGGGAGCCUGAGAAACGGCUACCACAUCCAAGGAAGGCAGCAGGCGCGCAAAUUACCCAAUCCCGACACGGGGAGGUAGUGACAAUAAAUACUGAUACAGGGCUCUUUUGGGUCUUGUAAUUGGAAUGAGUACAAUUUAAAUCUCUUAACGAGGAACAAUUGGAGGGCAAGUCUGGUGAACCAGCUGGCGCCAGACCAUAAAUAGGUGGGUCACCUCGGGGAGGUAGCCCGCCAGGCAUCCGGUACGGGGAAGAGCCCGAGGGCUUUAUCCCGUGGCGAGGGGCAACCCUCGCUGUAACGCAUGGCAGGAUGCCGGCGACCCCCCGGGGCCGUUUGAGGGACAUGCUAUUCGAAUCCGGCGAGGGAUUCAAGGGUCGUUCCACCCGGAACUUCCCCGUAAUGCAGGCCAGCAGCCGCGGUAUUCCAGCUCCAUAGCGUAUAUUAAGUUGUGCAGUWAAAGCUCGUAGUGAACCUUGGCUGCUGUCGUCGCUCACGCGUGCACUGG
Molecule: ribosomal RNA, 1024 nt
Filed under: Xylographa soralifera
Lineage: Eukaryota; Fungi; Ascomycota; Lecanoromycetes; Baeomycetales; Xylographaceae
Description: bacterial SSU rRNA
Rfam family: Eukaryotic small subunit ribosomal RNA (bases 117-1024)
Source: RNAcentral